UUUCUGGUUGAUCCUGCCAGAGGUCACUGCUAUCGGUGUUCGACUAAGCCAUGCGAGUCAAAUGUUCUUCGUGAACAUGGCGUACUGCUCAGUAACACGUGGAUAAUCUGCCCUUAGGUCUGGCAUAACCCCGGGAAACUGGGGAUAAUUCCGGAUAGAUCAUAGAUGCUGGAAUGCACUGUGAUCCAAAGCUUUUGUGCCUAAGGAUGAGUCUGCGGUCUAUCAGGUUGUAGUGGGUGUAACGUACCUACUAGCCUACGACGGAUACGGGUUGUGGGAGCAAGAGCCCGGAGAUGGAUUCUGAGACAUGAAUCCAGGCCCUACGGGGCGCAGCAGGCGCGAAAACUUUACAAUGCAGGAAACUGCGAUAAGGGGACACCGAGUGCCAGCAUCCUAUGUUGGCUGUCCGCAUGUUUAAAUCACAUGUGUUAGCAAGGGCCGGGCAAGACCGGUGCCAGCCGCCGCGGUAACACCGGCGGCCCGAGUGGUGGCCACUAUUAUUGGGUCUAAAGGGUCCGUAGCCGGUUUGGUCAGUCUUCCGGGAAAUCUGACGGCUUAACCGUUAGGCUUUCGGGGGAUACUGCCAGGCUUGGGACCGGGAGAGGUAAGAGGUACUACGGGGGUAGGAGUGAAAUCUUGUAAUCCCCGUGGGACCACCAGUGGCGAAGCGUCUUACCAGAACGGAUCCGACGGUGAGGGGCGAAAGCUGGGGGCACGAACCGGAUUAGAUACC
Molecule: ribosomal RNA, 733 nt
Filed under: uncultured Methanomethylovorans sp.
Lineage: Archaea; Methanobacteriati; Methanobacteriota; Methanomicrobia; Methanosarcinales; Methanosarcinaceae
Description: bacterial SSU rRNA
Rfam family: Archaeal small subunit ribosomal RNA
Source: RNAcentral